RNAcentral lists this long non-coding RNA (243 nucleotides) under Capsella rubella. Its description in RNAcentral is "long non-coding RNA (CRUB_LNC003538)". Lineage: Eukaryota; Viridiplantae; Streptophyta; Magnoliopsida; Brassicales; Brassicaceae. The record is from RNAcentral.
CGAGAUUGUGAAUCGAUCACUAAGUUAGAAAAAAACCCUUCCCAUCAUUAAGAAUGCAAUUUUAUAUAUUCAUCUUUUCUAAAACAACAAUAUGGGAUUGUGGAUAAGAUCGUAUAAGCUAAUAUCAAUAGGAUAAACUGAAGCACGCACGUUUUAUAAUGACAUGCUCCAAUCCCUUUCUAGGUUAUUCAAAAGCAAACGUUUAGUAUUAAACCCACAUGCUUCGAUCCUCGUGGUUAGGCA